UGGGGAAUAUUGCACAAUGGUCGCAAGCCUGAUGCAGCCAUGCCGCGUGUAUGAAGAAGGCCUUCGGGUUGUAAAGUACUUUCAGUCGGGAGGAAGGUGGUAAGGUUAAUAACCUUAUCAAUUGACGUUACCGACAGAAGAAGCACCGGCUAACUCCGUGCCAGCAGCCGCGGUAAUACGGAGGGUGCAAGCGUUAAUCGGAAUUACUGGGCGUAAAGCGCACGCAGGCGGUUGAUUGAGUCAGAUGUGAAAACCCCGGGCUUAACCCGGGAAUUGCAUCUGAUACUGGUCAGCUAGAGUCUUGUAGAGGGGGGUAGAAUUCCAUGUGUAGCGGUGAAAUGCGUAGGGAUGUGGAGGAAUACCGGUGGCGAAGGCGGCCCCCUGGACAAAGACUGACGCUCAGGUGCGAAAGCGUGGGGAGCAAACAGG
This 429-nucleotide ribosomal RNA is filed under the name Chloroflexota bacterium. Its description in RNAcentral is "Chloroflexi bacterium partial 16S ribosomal RNA". It matches the Rfam family "Bacterial small subunit ribosomal RNA", at positions 355 to 776 of the family's 1533-position model. Lineage: Bacteria; Bacillati; Chloroflexota. The record is from RNAcentral.